GCAGCCCACGUUGGAAGUUGGAACAUGUAGAGUUUGAUAUGAUCACAACUACCUUGCAUACACAGUUGAUAAUUUUGGGGGUGAAAGGCUCUCUUUAUAUUCACAUAAUGUCAGAGGUUUUAACUCAUCUGCUUGGUUUUCUCCAUUUUUUCCAGUUCUAUUCAGUGAGUCACGAAGCUGUAGCUUUUAGUUUUUCAAGUCUGAGUUGGUCCACAGUUUACUCGACGUCCAGUUUGUCGGCCUUUCCGCCAUUACAACCACUUCCAUGAGAAGGAUAUGUACUUUCAUUUUAUCCAUUUUGAAUUUUUACACUUUCUCAUCUCUUUGAUGUCGAUACGUUGUGUGUUUUAGUCUAAUUGCAGAGAUAUAGAAGAUUUGCACUGACAUCCGGUGUGGUGCUCAGGAGGCACACGAUAUCUAUGAUUCUAUCAUGAGGAUCUCACAUGUGGUAGUGGUUGGCGCUGCAAAUGAAAGUCCUUGGAGCAUGAAGUAGAUACCAGAAGAGGGUUGCUGACAUUAUUUCCAAAAUGAAUGGAAUUGUGACCAUCAACUCACAGCUGAGGGCUCAUAUAGUUGAUUGAAACUUCUGGAAAUGCAAGUGACGAUGAUAACUAUUAGAACUUAAGUUACAUUCAGAUCACCACAAAACCUUGACACUUAAGGCAAUGGCAGGAAAAUGAGGUUGAAGAGGGUGGUGAGGGUGCCAAUAUGGGUGAUAAUGUGAUAUAUUCCAUCAGAUGGUUAUUCUUGGAGGAAGUAUGGAAAAAAAACCUAUUAAAGGAUCCCCUCAUCCAAGGAAAAAACCUAUUGGUGUGAAUUAUCCCAAAGGCAAAAGAAAUGUGCACUUAUCGGGAAGUUUUCCUAAUUGGAUCUAUAAAGAUAUUGUUUUGUUAAUCAUUCUUUGCAAAGGGUGCUGAUUAUUUACUCAUCUAUCCGCUAUUUGCUGCUAUUUUUCCGCUUUAAGGGCUUGACAUAGUGGAUUUUUGGCUUUCCACAUUAACAACAUUGUUGUAUGUUAUCUGUAAGAGUUCUCAAUAUAGGUACGCUUAAAUGGUGUUGCCACCUUCAUUGGUAUUA
Long non-coding RNA from Lotus japonicus, 1077 nucleotides. RefSeq lists it as uncharacterized. NCBI's taxonomy places the organism in Eukaryota, Viridiplantae, Streptophyta, Magnoliopsida, Fabales, Fabaceae. The transcript is spliced from 3 exons. The record is from RefSeq and is a predicted model, not a curated record.